GAUGAACGCUGGCGGCGUGCUUAACACAUGCAAGUCGAGCGAAGCACUUAAGUUUGAUUCUUCGGAUGAAGACUUUUGUGACUGAGCGGCGGACGGGUGAGUAACGCGUGGGUAACCUGCCUCAUACAGGGGGAUAACAGUUAGAAAUGGCUGCUAAUACCGCAUAAGACCACAGUACUGCAUGGUACAGUGGUAAAAACUCCGGUGGUAUGAGAUGGACCCGCGUCUGAUUAGGUAGUUGGUGAGGUAACGGCCCACCAAGCCGACGAUCAGUAGCCGACCUGAGAGGGUGACCGGCCACAUUGGGACUGAGACACGGCCCAGACUCCUACGGGAGGCAGCAGUGGGGAAUAUUGCACAAUGGGCGAAAGCCUGAUGCAGCGACGCCGCGUGAAGGAUGAAGUAUUUCGGUAUGUAAACUUCUAUCAGCAGGGAAGAAAAUGACGGUACCUGACUAAGAAGCCCCGGCUAACUACGUGCCAGCAGCCGCGGUAAUACGUAGGGGGCAAGCGUUAUCCGGAUUUACUGGGUGUAAAGGGAGCGUAGACGGCUGUGCAAGUCUGAAGUGAAAGGCAUGGGCUCAACCUGUGGACUGCUUUGGAAACUGUGCAGCUAGAGUGUCGGAGAGGUAAGUGGAAUUCCUAGUGUAGCGGUGAAAUGCGUAGAUAUUAGGAGGAACACCAGUGGCGAAGGCGGCUUACUGGACGAUGACUGACGUUGAGGCUCGAAAGCGUGGGGAGCAAACAAGA
This 749-nucleotide ribosomal RNA is filed under the name uncultured bacterium. RNAcentral describes it as "bacterial SSU rRNA". It matches the Rfam family "Bacterial small subunit ribosomal RNA", at positions 28 to 777 of the family's 1533-position model. The record is from RNAcentral.